Molecule: ribosomal RNA, 253 nt
Filed under: uncultured bacterium
Lineage: Bacteria
Description: partial 16S ribosomal RNA
Rfam family: Bacterial small subunit ribosomal RNA
Source: RNAcentral
UACGAAGGGGGCUAGCGUUGUUCGGAAUUACUGGGCGUAAAGCGCGUGUAGGCGGGUGUCUAAGUCAGGGGUGAAAUGCCGAGGCUCAACCUCGGAACUGCCUUUGAUACUGGAUAUCUGGAGUCCGGGAGAGGUGAGUGGAACUGCGAGUGUAGAGGUGAAAUUCGUAGAUAUUCGCAAGAACACCAGUGGCGAAGGCGGCUCACUGGCCCGGAACUGACGCUGAGACGCGAAAGCGUGGGGAGCAAACAGG